This is a long non-coding RNA of Pan troglodytes (chimpanzee), 9514 nucleotides long. RefSeq lists it as uncharacterized. The transcript is spliced from 4 exons. The record is from RefSeq and is a predicted model, not a curated record. Lineage: Eukaryota; Metazoa; Chordata; Mammalia; Primates; Hominidae.
UGAAAACACCAGUUUUCACGCACCAAAUCGGCACGUCCACUUUCGCGCUUAGUGUUGGUGACGGUGCAGCGGCACAGCCUGUCCGUGGGUGGCUGGUGGAGGUGUCGGUCAGCUCUGUGUCCGUGGAAAGCAAUUUGGCCACGCUCAUCAUGAACACUCUCUUCCGUUGCUUUGACCCAAUAAUUCCCCGUCUAGAAAAAGAAAAGUAUCACAAGGAAACCAGAAAGUCACAUUUAUGUAACUGUCAUCACAGUAUAAUUUACAAUAAGGGAAAAGCUGGGAACAACCCACUUUUGUAAGAGCAGAGGUGAUAAACUAAAUGUAGUGACCCAGGCUAUAAGUCGGCAGCGUUUCAGAGACGUAGACAGAGCCGAGCACUGCGGUGCUAAGUGAGAAAGGCGAGAUGAAAAGCUACAAAAACGGAACACUUGUGAAUUUACGAAAAUCGUGUAUUAAUAUAUAUUAUAUACAAAAUAUUUUAUGUGUAUUCAACAUAUAUUUAAAUAGACAUUAUAUGUGUCUAUCCUGGAAGGAAAAUCAGAUGAGAUGGUAGUAGCAAUCCCUUGGUGAGGAGGUUUAAUGGGUAAUUUUAAAAGGUGUAUUAUUUUAUAUGUUCCAAAUUUCUAAAGAUAUCUUCUUCUUUCAUAAUUUCAGAAAAUAAUAAAGGUCUUUCCCCAAGAAGCAAUUUGCCCACCUACUGUACUUGUGUCCUGACAAUAUUAUCACGAGACUGUUUUAAGGCUGCAGUUCAUUAAGCAUUCUAGACAACGCACGCCCUCGUCUUCACCCAGACAGGCAGCUCCCAGGAUCACUCUGCACCCAGAGGGCUCCCGAGCCAUGGUGGCCUUUCCCAGGACGCGCUCAGGGCCAGGAUGUAAAGGUCCCUGCCAGCUGAUGGUGCCAACUGUGCCUCUUUAAGUGCAGGAGCCCCUGAAAAUCAGCCGAAUCAAUCACAGAGUUACAGCCUGAGGUUAACACUUUGGCACGGCCAGAUUUCAAAAGGGGAUCAUGAAAAUCAUGGCUGGGGGACUGGCCACAGCUGGGUUGCUUGUGCUGAAACGUUGGCCAAGAGGUCACCUUCAGAGGUAGGAAGACAGGCAAAUGUUCUCAGCUGAUUCAACGGAGCAGCCCAGUUUCAAAGUAUGUCAGAGUUCAUAGAUCUGCUUGCUGGGUGUUCUGCUGCCUAUGUGUGUAAAUAUAGGCAGUGCAGUGAGACUUCUAAGCCCUGAAACAGAAAAUAGGCAUCCACGGAAAUACAAUUCCACAGACAAAGGCUCUUGUGAGAUCACAAGUUUAAGUCCUUGUUGGAUGCUCAGGAUGGCGGGCAUGGAGGGUUGUCUCUGCUGUAACCGCGCGAAUGUCUCAACUCCCUCGACAUUUCUUGAGCUUCUUCACCUGAGAGCUGGGGAUCACACUGUCCCCUAGAGCUGGCGCCUGUCCCUAGAGCUGGCUGUGAGCACUGAAUGAGGAAAUGUGCACAUGGGAGGAGCCCGGCGCCUGGCUUGGGUCCCGCUGAUGCAGUAUCCUUCCCUACCCAUCUAUGCACCCCCACUUGGUAGCAUAAUAUCUUACAGAUAGAGCAGGAGCUUCAUCCGUGUUUGUUGAUGGUCCUGAGGGGGAGGGACUUUCUCCAUCUCACUCGCUCUUGAAUUUGUCGAGUCCACUGGGUCUGGAAGGAUCCCAGGCACAGGUGGGUUCUCCACUCUGUCUGUUGCCAGCUCCGUGGACAGGUGAGGGCAUGGGUACAGUGUUCAGUCUUCUCCUGUCCACAAUGGCUGGGUUUUCCUCUGUGAUUAUAUACAAAUUUGAUUUUUUUUUUUUUUUGAGAUAGAAACUCGCUCUGUCGCCCAGGCUGGAGUGCAGCGGUGUGAUCUCAGCUCUCUGCAACCUCCACCUUCCAGGUUCAAGGGGUUCUUCUGCCUCAGCCUCACAAGUAGCUGGGAUUACAGGUCAAGAACAUACAAUGCUUACAACACAAUCUGAGUGAAGACUCCUUCUACAUUUCUGAGAGAUUUUCCCAAUCUUUUAUGGUGAUUGUAUCCAAUCUUAAUUUCACAGUAACUGUGGUGGACGGCAUCCAGACGCGGAGGGAAGUUUCCUCCUGGGGAGCAGCGCACGUGCUGCCUGGAGACAGAAGCGAAGAUCAGAUUGCACGUGUGUGGAACGUGGCCGCAGCACCAGUUCUGAGCUCCACGAUUUGCCGGAGCAUGACUCUGUUCUUCAUGAAAAUUAUUAUAAAGAGUGCUUCCAGGAGGCUGAGGCAGGAGAAUCGUUUGAACCCGGGAGGCAGAGGUUGCAGUGAGUGGAGAUCGCGCCACUGCACUCCCAGCCUGGGCAACAGAGAGAGACUCCGUCUCAAAAAAAAAAAAAAAAAAAGAGUGCUUCCUCAUUAAAUCAAGAAAGACACACACACAAGUGAACUGGAAGAGUAUCACACCCUCUUAGGCCUCAAUAUCCACAACAUCACUGGCCACAGCUUUUAGUUUCAGGAGGUGAGAUAUGAAAACAAACCUAAUGGGCAAAGCAGAUCUAAACAGGGUAAGACCUGGAGCCCCGGCCCCAUGCAGCCUGCAGAAGGUGAGUGAGGUCGGCCUCCCCUCAUUCCACAGUUGCCUCUUUCCAGAGACCCUGGGUGUCUGGAGGGAUAUAGAGUGAUGUGGCCAGGCGCUGUGCCCGGGGAAAUGACAUUAAAAUUAGUAAUAGUAGGGGAAAAAAAAGAAAUACUUUCCUUUACAGACAACAGAAUGCAACUUGAGGCAAUCCAUUCUAUACAUACAGUCUCAGAAACGAUUCCAGAUUUCCGACCUGCGUGUUUUGUUUCUUUGUUUGUUUAUGUCAAGACUUUACAAUUUGCCAUGAAUCAAAAACACACGCACUCAGGGGAUAGAAAGAAAUAUUCAGAAAGAGUUUGAGUGGAAUUUGGAUUAGGUUGGGUGUUUUUUGACUCCGAGUCCUGUGUCCAAGUGACAGCUGCUGUGCCAUAAUAAUAGAUCAGCUUACAAUACGUAGAUAUAGACAGGCAGACAAUAGACAAUCUGUGUAUGAAACAGGCUGCCUAAAAAUGCUGAUUAUCUAAAAGCUUGUGAGCCUACGUCAUCAAAGCCAUCUCACCAGGUGAGUGUUCACUCUUCCCUCAGCGGGCCCUCCCAGAAGUCAUGUUAAGCAGUUUCUGACGGUAUUCAUAUUUUAAUCCUCAGAAGCCCUGGAGGCUCUCACCUCCCACUUCAGGCUGCCCAAAGUCACAGAGCCUGUGACUCCAGGACUCAUCUUUCAACAAACGCUUUGGUUGGCCAGCGCUUCCUUUUACCGUCAGCCGCCCCUGCCCGGGACACUUGCAGAGCUGCUCAGGGGACUUUGUGGGUCUCAUUGAGGCUGUAUUUGCGGAUUCAAUUACGCAUUUUUAAUUCCGCAAAUAUUUGCCACUGCUGCCUGACCUGGAGCCUGUGCGUGCAGAUCCUUUGAUCGAAAGCCGCCUGCCUGUAGAUCAGACCCCGUGGUGAGUGGUGACAGCCCACGGGUGGGGAGGCAGAUCACCCUGCUGGGUUGCUGGGGGAGGCUGUGUGGAGGCCAUAGGGUCUGAGCAAUAUACUAAGACCUAGUUAAAGAUUUGCAGCGAGAGAAUCCAUGAAACAUGAAACACGGAGGCUGUGGGGGGUCGAGUUAGGACUCUGGAUGGCCACAUCCUGACCCCCAGAACAUGCAACCACCGCCUUGUAUGGAAAGGGGGCUUUGCGGAUGUGAUGGGGCUGAGGCUCCUGAGAUGGGUGAUUUUCUUGGAUGAUCCUGGCGGGCCAAUGAAAUCACAGGGUGCUUCUGAGAGGGAGGGAGGACAGCAGAGAGGGGAAGGUGAUGUGGCUACAGAGCCAGAGAUGACGGAAAGGGCUGCCAGCCCAGGGGUCCAGGUACCACCGGAAGAAGGAAAGACAGAGACAUGGGGUCUCCCCAUGCCCAGCCCUGCAGAGACCCUGAAUUCAGCGCAGGGGUACUGAUUUGGGGGUUAUAGCCUCCAGAACUGUGAGAGAAUAAGUCUCCGUUGUCUUAAGCCACCGAGUGUGUGGUACGUGUUAUGGCAGCCACAUAGCAGGUGUGAGGAAGCUGGAGAAGGGACUGAAGAUGGGGUGCAGCUGGGACCACCCUGCUGGGCUAAGGCCAGUUCUGGAAAGAGACUGGACAGCUCUCCCUCAGGCGCAGGGAGGGAGGAACCCGUGAGUCAGCGGAGGGUGGGAGGAAACGUGGGAGGAGCCUCCGACAUCCUAGAAACGCGGGGGUACAAAAGCCGGCACCGGCCUGCGAGGGGGAAAGCCGGCCUCUUACGCCCUGGAAGAGGAAACUCACAGAGAUUCCCACAACUACACCCAGCUGUGCAGGAGGCCCACGUCCUGUCUCAUUUCAUUUUCUCCUCUCGGUGAACCAAAAGAGAAGAAAAUGCCAGGAGCAGAAGGUCAAAGGGAAGCAUCGAGAGAAAGAGGAUGAAUUGACACCUGUGGCUAAUUGAAGUGAAAUCAGAUCACAGAGGCCAUGAGACCCAUGUCCAGAGGGCCCUAGGAGGGAGCUGUGGGCUCAGCUGGUUGAUUUACUCUGGCUUGGGUCGCUCCUACUGCUUUGAGGACAAUAAGCUUGGCCAUCACCAGACACCAGAGGAUGCUGAAGGCACAGCCGGCUAGACUAUUUCAUGGACUCUCUGAGCAUGUCCUAUUGCAGUCCAGGUACAAACUUUUCCUCCAGAAAUAGACAGAGGGAUGCUGCUUCCCAAUUUCAGCAAAGGCAGUGGAAAGAUCCCGGUCAAAAGUAGAAACUCUGGGUCCAGGCCUUCCAGCUGACACUCACUCUGAUAUGGUUUGGCUGUGUUCCCACCCAAAUCUCAACUUGAAUUGCAUCUCUCAGAAUUCCCACGAGUUGUAGGAGGGAUCCAGGUGGAGGUAAUUGAAUCAUGGGGUGGGUCUUUCCCAUGCUAUUCUCAUGAUAGUGAAUAAGUCUCACCAGCUCUCAUGGGUUUAUUAGGGGUUUCCACUUCUGAUUCUUCCUCAUUUUCUCUUGCUGCCACCACGUAAGAAGUGCCUUUUGCCUCCUGCCAUGAUUCUGAGGCCCCCUUAGCCAUGUGGAACUGUAAGUCCAAUUAAACCUCUUUUCCUUCCCAGUCUCAGGUAUGUCUUUAUCAGCAGCAUGAAAACAGACGAAUACAGUAAAUUGGUGCCACUAGAGUGGGCACUGCUGGUAAGAUACCUGAGAAUGUGGAAGCGACUUUGGAACUGGGUAACAGGCAGAGGUUGGAACAGUUUGGAGGGCUCAGAAGAAGACAGGAAAAUGUGGGACAGUUUGAAACUUCCUAGAGACUUGUUGCAUGGUUUUCCCCCAAAUGCUGAUAGCGAUAUGGACAAGAAGGUCCAGGCUGAGGUGGUCUCAGAUGGAGAUGAGGAACUUGUUGGGAACUGGAGCAAACGUGACUCUUGUUAUGUUUUAGCAGAGAGACUGGCAGCAUUUUGCCCCUGCCCUAGAGAUUUGUGGAACUUUGAACUUGAGAGGGAUGAUUUAGGGUAUCUGAUGGAAGAAAUUUCUAAGCAGGAAAGCAUUCAAGAGGUGACUUGGGUAUUGUUAAAGGCAUUCAGUUUUAUCAGGGAAGCAGAGCAUCAAAGUUUGGAAAAUUUGACUAUGAGAUAGAAAACAAAAACCCAUUGUCUGGGGAGAAAUUCAAGAUGGCUACAGAAAUUUGCAGAGGUAGCAGGGAGCCUAAUGUUAAUCCCCAAGACCAUGGGAAAAUGUCUCCAGGCCAUGUCACAGAGCUUCACAGCAGCCCCUCCCAUCACAGGCCUGGAGGCCCUGGAGAAGAAAGUGGUUUCAUGGGCCGGGCCCAGGGCCCCUGUGCUGUGUGCAGCCUAGGGACUUGGUGCCCUGUGUCCCAGCUGCUCCAGUCAUGGCUAAAAGGGGCCAAGGUAUGGCUCAGGCUGUGGCUUCAGAGGAUGGAAGCCCCGAGCCUUGACAAUUUCCACCUGGUGUUGAGCCUGCAGGUGCACGGAGGCCAGGAAUUUAGGUUUGGGAACCUCUGCCUAGAUUUCAGAAGACAUAUGGACAUGCCUGGAUGCCCAAGCAAACAUGUUUUGCAGGGGUGGGACUCCCUUGUAGAACCUCUGCUAGGGCAAUGCAGGAGGGAAAUGUGGGGAGGGAGCCCCCAUACAGAGUCCCUACUGGGGCACUGCCUAGUGGAGCUGUGAGAAGAGGGCCACCGUCCUCCAGACCUCAGAAUGGUAGAUCCACCGUCGGUUUGCACCGUGCACCUGGAAAAGCCACAGACACUCAAUGCCAGCUCAUGAAAGCAGCCAGGAGGGAGGGUGUACCCUGCAAAGCCACAGGGUGGAGCUGCCCAUGACCAUGGGAACCCACCUCUUGCAUCAGCGAGACCUGGAUGUGAGACCUGGAGUCAAAGGAGAUCAUUUUGGAGCUUUAAAAUUUUACUGCCCCACUGGAUUUCUGACUUGCAUGGGGCCUGUAGCCCCUUUGUUUUGGCCAAUUUUUCCCAUUUGAAACAGCUGUAUUUACAAAAUACCUGUACCCCCAUUGUAUCUAGGAAGUAACUAGCCUGCUUUUGAUUUUACAGGCUCAUAGGUGGAAAGGACAUGUUUUGUCUCAGAUGAGACUUUGGACUGUGGACUUCUGGGUUAAUGCUGAAAUGAGUUAAGACUUUUUGGGAAGGCAUGGUUGGUUUUGAAAUGUUGAGGACAUGAGAUAUGGAGGGGCCAGGGGUGGAAUGAUAUGGUUUGGCUGUGUCCCCACCCAAAUACCAACUUGAAUUGUAUCUCCCAGAAUUCCCAUAUGUUGUGGGAGGGUCCCAGAGGGAGGUAAUUGAAUCAUGGGGGCAUCUUUCCUGUGCUAUUCCUAUAAUAGUGAAUGAGUCUCAUGAGAUCUGAUGGGUUUAUCAGGGGUUUCCACUUUUGCUUCUUCCUCAUUUUCUCUUGCCACCACCAUGUAAGAUGUGCCUUUCACCUCCCGCCAUGAUUCUGAGGCCUGCCCAGCCAUGUGGAACGGUAAGUCCAAUUAAACCUCUUUCUUUUCCCAGUCUUGGGUAUAUCUUUAUCAGCAGCGUGAAAACAGACUAAUACACACUCUUUGACAUUUCUUAGCUGUGUGACCUUGGAUAAGUUUCUUACCCUCUCUGAUAUGGCUUAAAUGUUUGUUCCCUCCAAAUCUCAUGCUGAAAUGUGAUCCCCAAUGCUGGAAAUGGGUGCUGGUGAGAGUUUGGGUCAUGGGGGUAGAUCCCUCAUGAUGACUUGGUGCCCUCCUCACAAUAGUGAGUUCACGUUAAAUCUGGUUGGUAAAGAGACUGGGACCCUUCCCCUCUCUCUUACUCCCUUUCUCAUCAUGUGUCUCUCCCUCUGUCUUGCUUGCUUUCUUGCCAUGUGUUGUGUCUGCUCUUCCUUCACCUUCGGCAAUGAGUCAAAGCUCCUGGAGGCCUCCCCAGAAGCUGAGUAGAUGUUGGUGCCAUGCUUGUACAGCCUGCAGAACUGUGAACCAAAUAAACCUUUUUUCUUCAUAAAUUACCCAGCCUCAGGUAUUUCUUUAUAGCAAUGCAAAAAUGGACUAACACAGAAAAUUGGUACUGAGGAGUGGGGCAUUGCUAUAAAGAUACCUGAAGAUGUGGAAGUAGCUAUGGAACUGGGUGACCGGCAGACGUUGGAAGAGUUUGGAGAACUCAAAAGAAGACAGGAAGAUGAGGGAAAGUUUAGAACUUUUUAGAGACUGAUAAGGUGGUUGUGACCAAAAUGCUGAUAGAAAAAUGGACCAUGAAGGCCAGGCUGAUGAAGCCUCAGAUGGAUAUGAGGACGUUAUUGAGAACUGGAACAAAACUCGUGCAUGUUAUGAUCUAGCAGAGAGCUUGGCUGCCUUAUGUCCCUGCCCUAGGAAUCUGGAAGGUUGAACUUAAGACUGAUGACCUAGGGUAUGUGGUGGAGGAAAUUUCUAAGCAGAAAAGCUUUCAAUAUGUGGCCUGGCUGCUUGUAGUAAUCUAAAUCAGAUGUGGGAACAAAGGAAUGUCCCUAAGUUGGAACGUACAAUUAAAAAGGAAGCAAAGCUCAAAGGUUUGAAAAAUUUGCAGCCUGGCCAGGUGGUAGAGAAGAAAAACACUUUUUCAGGAGAGAAAUGCAGGGGGCUGCAGAGAAACUACUUUCUAGAGAGAUUUUCAUAACUAAAAGGGAGCCAAGUGCUAAUAUUCAAGACAACGGGAAAAAGGUCUCGAAAGCUUUGGGACAGCCCCCCCAUCACAGGUCCAGAGGUUUGGGAGGUCAGCAUGGUUUUGGGGGCCCGGCCUGGAUCACCACUGCCCUUUGCCACCUUAGGCAGAUGUUCCCCAUAUCCUCACUGCUUUUCUUCUAGCUGUGGCUCAAAGGUCCCCAGGUAUAGCUUGGGCUGCCACUCUGGAGAGUGUAAGCCAUAAGUGUUGACAGCUUCCACAUGGUGUUAAGCCUGCCAGGUACAUAGAGUGAAAGAGUUGAGGCUUGGGAGCCUCUGCCUAGAUUUCAGAGGAUGCAUGAGAAUGCCUGGGUGCUGCAGGGGUGGAGCCCCCACAGAAAGGCUCUGCUAGGGCACUACAGAGAGGAUAUGUGGAGUGGCAACCCUCACAUAGAGUCCCCACCAGGGAACUGCCUAGUGGAGCUGUGGGAACAGGGCCACCGCCCUCUGGAUUCCAGAAUGGCAGAGCCACUGGCAGGUGGCAAGCUCAGCCUGGGAAAGCUACAGGCACCAGACUCCAACCCAUAAGAGCAGCCUCAUGGGCUGUGCCAAGCAAAGCUGUCAGGGUGGGGAUGCCCAAGGCCUUGGAGGCCCACCAGUUGCACCAGUGUGCUCUGGAUGUGAGACAUGCAGUCAAUGACUGUUUUGGAGCUUUGAGGUUUAAUGUCUGCCCUUCUGGGUUUCAGACUUGUAUGGGGCCUGUUGCUCCUUUCUUUUGGCCAAUUUCUCCUUCUUGGAAUGGGAAUGUUUACCCAAUACCUAUGCCACCACUGUAUCUGGGAAGUAAGUAACUUGUUUUGGAUCUUACAGCUCAUAGGUCAGGAAUGAACUUGCCUUGAGUCUCAGAUGAGGAUCUGGACUUGGAUUGAGUUGAUGCUGAAUGAGUUAAGACUUUUGGGGACUGUUGGGAAAGGGGAAUCAUAUUUUGCAAUGUGAGAAGGAUAUGAGAUUUGGGGGACCAGAGAUGUAAUGAUAUGGUUUGGAUGUUUUGUCCCUCCAAAUCUCCUGUUGAAAUGUGAUCUCCAGUGUUGGGGAUGGGGCCUGCUGGGAGGUGAUUGGGUCAUGGAGUGAAUCCCUCAAGAACGGCUUGGUGCCGUCCUCACAGUAGUGAGUUCACGUGAGAUCUGGUUGUUAGAGUCUGCGACCUUCCCUCUCUCUCAUGCUCCCUUUCUCACCAUGUGACACACUGGCUCCCUUUCUCCAUGAGUAAAAGCUCCUGGAGGCCUCCCCAGAAGCUGAGCAGAGCAGGUGUCAUGCGGAACCGUGAGCCAAUUAAACCUAUUUUCUUUAUAAA